GGGUAUAGUUCAGUUGGUAGAACGUCGGUCUCCAAAACCGGAUGUCGGGGGUUCGAGUCCUCUUGCC
RNAcentral lists this transfer RNA (67 nucleotides) under Kallipyga massiliensis. It matches the Rfam family "tRNA". Rfam says of the family: Transfer RNA (tRNA) molecules are approximately 80 nucleotides in length. The record is from RNAcentral. RNAcentral also lists the same sequence under 2 other names. Lineage: Bacteria; Bacillati; Bacillota; Tissierellia.